RNAcentral lists this ribosomal RNA (502 nucleotides) under Sphingobacterium sp. HCUBPB8. Its description in RNAcentral is "bacterial SSU rRNA". It matches the Rfam family "Bacterial small subunit ribosomal RNA", at positions 373 to 876 of the family's 1533-position model. The record is from RNAcentral. Lineage: Bacteria; Pseudomonadati; Bacteroidota; Sphingobacteriia; Sphingobacteriales; Sphingobacteriaceae.
GGGGGCAACCCUGAACCAGCCAUGCCGCGUGCAGGACGACUGCCCUAUGGGUUGUAAACUGCUUUUGUUAGGGAAUAAACCCCGCUACGUGUAGCGGGCUGAAUGUACCUAAAGAAUAAGGAUCGGCUAACUCCGUGCCAGCAGCCGCGGUAAUACGGAGGAUCCGAGCGUUAUCCGGAUUUAUUGGGUUUAAAGGGUGCGUAGGCGGCACUUUAAGUCAGGGGUGAAAGACGGCAGCUCAACUGUCGCAGUGCCCUUGAUACUGAAGUGCUUGAAUGCGGUUGAAGACGGCGGAAUGAGACAAGUAGCGGUGAAAUGCAUAGAUAUGUCUCAGAACACCGAUUGCGAAGGCAGCUGUCUAAGCCGUUAUUGACGCUGAUGCACGAAAGCGUGGGGAUCGAACAGGAUUAGAUACCCUGGUAGUCCACGCCCUAAACGAUGAUACUCGAUGUUUGCGAUAUACCGUAAGCGUCCAAGCGAAAGCGUUAAGUCAUCCACCUGG